Non-coding RNA from Hipposideros armiger (great roundleaf bat), 693 nucleotides. NCBI's taxonomy places the organism in Eukaryota, Metazoa, Chordata, Mammalia, Chiroptera, Hipposideridae. The record is from the annotation of a RefSeq genome assembly.
GGUAGAACACAUUUCUUUGGGUGUGGAAGGAGCUUGUAGAAAGGAAACCCACUUAGGAGCAGUCAGAUUCAUCAACUGUCUCUGAGGAGGAAGAAGAGGGAGAUGCUGCUCAUAGUACCAGUGUUGUUCCUACGGAUGCACAUAUCACAAGUGAAUGGACUACAACUAAAUCAAAUUCCUCAGUUCCUGCUCCUACAAGAAGGACAGAACUUCACCACAUACUGCAAUUCCUCAACCGCUUUUAAUAGCUUACAGUGGUAUAAGCAAAGCCCUGGGGGAAGCCCUGUUCUCUUGAUGAUAUUAUUCAAACCUGGGGAGGUGGUGAAGAAGAAAAGACUGAUAGCUUGGUUUGGACAGACUAGAAAGGACAGCUCCCUGCACAUCAUGGGCGCCCAGACUGCAGAUGUAGGAACUUACUUCUGCGCAGAGGCACAGUGUUCUCGAAACACCUGCUGCCUGUCCCCAAACCUUGCUGUGGGGAUCCAGGAGCAAUUCCUCCUUAUUGGUCUUCAGAGCAGGAGUCAGAGAAAGCUGAAAUCACAAUGUCUAUGAAAAAACAAUUAUUUUAAAGACAAAAAUCUCCAGGCUCAGGUGAUUUCUUUAGAGAAUUCUACCGAACUUUUGAAGAAUUAGCAUGGAUUCUACAUAAUUGCUUCCAGAAAAUACAAAGAUGAAAAUAUCUCUAACUCACUU